CCUACGGCCGAGCCCCGCCCAGGAACGGACCCGAGCGGCCGGGCGCGGGCGGAGGUGGGGGACUUGGAGAGAAAGUGUCGCCUAGAGUAACUUCGAGCUUCGUUUUGUCGUUUGCAUGAGUCCUUACUCGCGAUUAGGUGCUCAGUAAACAUUUGAAGGAGAAAAAGAAGAAAACACAGAAGGAGUGAAGAGAGAAACCUCAAGGACAUAGAGACAAGCAAACAGCUCACUGGUUUGCUAUAAAUGGAUGUAACUCAGGAACAGCCAGAUGGAUGGGAUGCAUAAGGCGAAGUGUGGAGAAAGGGCUCAGAGUUUCCAUGCCCUCGCCAGGCACGCUUCUUUCUUCACACCUGCACGUCUUCCCCAACCCAGAAGCUCUCCAAACUGUGCCCUUUUGGGUUCGUAUGGAAGCUUCAUUGCACAGUGCUUCCUUGGGUCUGGAGUCUCUCUGAUCUAUUCUGCCUUUACCCUGCUGAGGACAGAUCACCUUGAGCAAAGUGCAACAGGACUGGUUCCAUAACUCGAGUCUUUAAAAGGAAGCACAUUCUCGGCCCUCAGUGAUCAUGCAUAAGAAGGACACAUAGAAGGUGUAGAGGAAUCUCGAGGAGGGUCAGAUGCUGUUGGAGGAACAGACGUUGGCGACUGGCCUUGUUACCACCUACUCGGCUUCCUUCUCCCUGGAGUGUGUCCUCGCCUCUUUCCUUCGCAUCCCUUCCCAAGCGUGUCCCUCUUCUCAGCUGCGUCUGGGAACACUGGCCUUUCUCUCCUGUGACAGAACUGAACAGCUCAGGCUCGUCUGCUCUCAGGCCCGAAGAAAAAUGCAGGAGUGGAAACGGAGGUUAGAAAGAGCAAGUGGGUGCUCACAGAGGAGCUGGUCAAGGAGUGGGGUGUGGAUGGAGGAGAUGGAACGGAAAAGACUGGAAUUGCCGGAAGGUCUUCAGAGAGCUGAAGGAGUAGACCCGGCUGGAGGACGACGUCACAUUCAGGGAGGAAAAGUGCGCCCAUACCGGGAAGCCACCUGAGCGCUCUGUUUGAGCGGAAGGCGUGUUUUCAGGCAAAUGGACAAGGUGAGGCAAUGAUGUCCAGGCUGCAGCUUUGGAGAGGGAGCUCUCUGAAGCCUUACGGUAUGUCCACACUGGCUUGGAAUAAAAGAAUAGAGGGGGUGCCCAAGAUGAGCCAGGAAUAGGACCAGGCACUGCAGGGUCCCUGCCUGGUCCCAGCAUUUGACUUUCUGACAACUGAAAUAGAAGCUGUGAUUCCUGUCCUCUGAAACUCUGAACGGACCAAAAGAUGGAAUUGGCCCCCAAUUUGCCUGUGUCGCGAACGAAAGCAUCAGGAUGAAAGUCAAAUUCUCGGCGGGAGGCCCGUCAUCUCUCUUCCAGCUGCACGCUGACCCAGCCCCUUCUGAUGCUGAGCUCCAUCUUGGGUUUCUAGUUCUAGCAAAAUGGAGCUUCUUCUGCGGUCCCUCCAGCUGCAAUGCCUGAGGCCUUAUUGGAUGGUAGCCUUCAUCCUUUAAGACUAAACAGAGGUGUUACUACCUGGAGGGAAACUCCGACUCUUUCUCCCUCUUAAUUCUUUGAAGCCUGACUUUAGAGGAUCUGUCCUUUCUCCUGGAGAAGGGGUUAUUACUCUGUAAAGAAAUGUGUUCUACAGAAAGGGAAAGGCAAUAAGGCUAGUUGGUAGGGAAAAAAAAGUAGUUAAAUUAUUCAGAAAAAAAGACUGUGAAAUAGGCAAACCUAAGAAAGGCAGAGCCCAACCAGGAGAGAAAGUGGCAGAACUGUGGAAUGCUUGACAUUCUUUUGAACCCUAAGAGCGAAGAUAGUCAAGAUCACAAUGGGGUCAGAACAAGUACAGGUAAGAGUUGUAUUUUGUGGGGCACCUGGGUGGCACAGUGGGUUAAGCAUCCGACUUUGGCUCAGGGCAUGAUCUCACAGUGUGAGUUCGAGACCCGCGUCGGGCUCUGUGCUGACAGCUCAGAGCCUGGAGC
Felis catus (domestic cat) is the source of this 1987-nucleotide long non-coding RNA. RefSeq lists it as uncharacterized. The record is from RefSeq and is a predicted model, not a curated record. Lineage: Eukaryota; Metazoa; Chordata; Mammalia; Carnivora; Felidae. The transcript has 10 exons.